This 496-nucleotide ribosomal RNA is filed under the name uncultured bacterium. Its description in RNAcentral is "partial 16S ribosomal RNA". It matches the Rfam family "Bacterial small subunit ribosomal RNA", at positions 29 to 507 of the family's 1533-position model. The record is from RNAcentral.
AUGCACGCUGGCGGCGUGCCUCAUACCUGCAAGUCGCGCGAACGGACGAGAAGCUUGCUUUUCUGAUGUUAGCGGCGGACGGGUGAGUAACACGUGGAUAACCUACCUAUAAGACUGGGAUAACUUCGGGAAACCGGAGCUAAUACCGGAUAAUAUUUUGAACCGCAUGGUUCAAAAGUGAAAGACGGUCUUGCUGUCACUUAUAGAUGGAUCCGCGCUGCAUUAGCUAGUUGGUAAGGUAACGGCUUACCAAGGCAACGAUGCAUAGCCGACCUGAGAGGGUGAUCGGCCACACUGGAACUGAGACACGGUCCAGACUCCUACGGGAGGCAGCAGUAGGGAAUCUUCCGCAAUGGGCGAAAGCCUGACGGAGCAACGCCGCGUGAGUGAUGAAGGUCUUCGGAUCGUAAAACUCUGUUAUUAGGGAAGAACAUAUGUGUAAGUAACUGUGCACAUCUUGACGGUACCUAAUCAGAAAGCCACGGCUAACUACGUG